ACCAAAAAAAAUCAGCUGCUGUUGUCACCACCCCCCACUGAAGGAUUUGAGGGACGAAUUUUGCCAGGAAAAUUCAAUUUCCCAGCGGGAACGACGCGUGUGCAGAAGGAAUUCCUCCUUUUUGUAUGGUCAGCUCUGUAAAAAUGUAUAUAUUCUAUAGAUUUAUAGACAUUUACAGGUUUUCUACAUCCUCCCCAGCCCACUGGGGGUGGUUUUUUUGUUGGUUUUUUUUUGUACAUAAUUACAAAUUGGUUAUUUCCGCGCUGUCAGGAGAGGUUGAGGUUUUGGCAGAGUUUUUUUUUGUGCCAGGCUGGCACAAUUCGGGCACGCUGAGGUGGAGGAAAAUGUGAAUUUCCAGAGGGAAAAAAUCAAAAAUAAAACAAAAAAAAAGGAAAAAAAAAGAACCCACAAGCCUCAAACGUCAGCACAGGCGGUUCCCAGUGGGAUCAAAGCGGGAAAAAUCCACUCCAGCUGCCAAAAUGCAGGUCCUGGCAGCUCUGCGGGUCCUGGCAGCUCUGCUGGGAGCUCUGCAGGUCCUGGCAGCUCUGCUGGGAGCUCUGCAGGUCCUGGGCAGCCCGGCAGGUCCUGGCAGCCCCGUGGCAGGUCCUGGCAGCUCCAGCCUCACCGGAUCAGGUAGGCCAGGCUGGCCCCCAGGCCGGCCACCCCCGCGAAGGCCAUCAGAACGUUCCGGACGCUGCCCUCCAGGUCCUCCAGGCGGAAGAAGUCCACGAAG
Non-coding RNA from Taeniopygia guttata (zebra finch), 733 nucleotides. NCBI's taxonomy places the organism in Eukaryota, Metazoa, Chordata, Aves, Passeriformes, Estrildidae. The record is from RefSeq and is a predicted model, not a curated record.